AGAAGCUAGUCUAAGAUUUAUAUUGUUAAAAAAAAAAAAGGAAAGUCCGGGACUUAUUUACCAUAAUAUCUUUCAUAUUUUGUAAAAACAAGGGAACUUAAAAGAAAAUAAUCGAUUAUUAUACUUUAUAUAGAUAAUAUAAAUAUAAUAAAUGGCGAACUUAAAAUCCUAUGGUUAGUCAAAGAAAAAAAAAUAAAAUAGUUCGAAUUUAGAUCUGCAGUAGGAUCAGAGAGAUUUGUUCGUUCGUUCUAUUUUAAUAAGAACAAGUGUAAUUAGCAACUAAAACAUAAUCCGGCUUAUUUAAAUCUAGAUAUCUUUU
RNAcentral lists this unclassified non-coding RNA (319 nucleotides) under Taphrina deformans (peach leaf curl fungus). RNAcentral's name for it is "RNase P RNA subunit". Lineage: Eukaryota; Fungi; Ascomycota; Taphrinomycetes; Taphrinales; Taphrinaceae. The record is from RNAcentral.